UGAGUAGGCGGUUGCAUAUGUCAGAUGUAAAAAGGCACAGGCUUAACUUGUGUUAGCAUUUGAAACUGUGCGACUUGAGUGCAGGAGAGGUAAGUGGAAUUCCUAGUGUAGCGGUGAAAUGCGUAGAUAUUAGGAGGAACACCAGUGGCGAAGGCGACUUACUGGACUGUAACUGACGCUGAGUCACGAAAGCGUGGGUAGCAAACA
Molecule: ribosomal RNA, 207 nt
Filed under: uncultured Sedimentibacter sp.
Lineage: Bacteria; Bacillati; Bacillota; Tissierellia
Description: partial 16S ribosomal RNA
Rfam family: Bacterial small subunit ribosomal RNA
Source: RNAcentral